Molecule: ribosomal RNA, 446 nt
Filed under: uncultured bacterium
Lineage: Bacteria
Description: bacterial SSU rRNA
Rfam family: Bacterial small subunit ribosomal RNA
Source: RNAcentral
CCAGACUCCUACGGGAGGCAGCAGUGGGGAAUAUUGGGCAAUGGGCGCAAGCCUGACCCAGCAACGCCGCGUGAAGGAAGAAGGCUUUCGGGUUGUAAACUUCUUUUCUGGGGGACGAAGAAAGUGACGGUACCCCAGGAAUAAGCCACGGCUAACUACGUGCCAGCAGCCGCGGUAAUACGUAGGGAGCGAGCGUUGUCCGGAAUUACUGGGUGUAAAGGGAGCGUAGGCGGGACUGCAAGUUGGGUGUCAAAUCUACCGGCUCAACCGGUAGCCGCACUCAAAACUGCAGUUCUUGAGUGAAGUAGAGGCAGGCGGAAUUCCUAGUGUAGCGGUGAAAUGCGUAGAUAUUAGGAGGAACACCAGUGGCGAAGGCGGCUUACUGGACUGUAACUGACGUUGAGGCUCGAAAGCGUGGGGAGCAAACAGGAUUAGAUACCUCCGUA